AGAGCGCGGCUGUAGAAUUCAAGCAUUCAGCGUUUGCUGCGCUCUCUCUCUCUCUCUCUGUCCGUGUCUGUCACUCUAAACUUCGCUCUUUUUCUUUUCGUAGUCUGAGAUUCCGAAGUGGCUGUAGAUAUCUCAAAGCCAAGAUCCAAGUUUUUCCCCAGCGCAUUCAAUCAGCCACAGAACACUAUAACGAACCAGACUAGAAAAACGAUGGCUGCCAAGGGAAAGUAUGCUGCAGAUUUGAAUCGUGAAAUUGAAACUAGUCACACUUGCAAGACUGGCGGCGUCAGAAAUUUUAAGGUUUACACGGAAAGUGAAGCGGUUAAAGUUGUUGCAGAUAGCAUUGGAAAGAAGUCUGCAGCUGUUAACAAAAGGGCUAAUUCGACUACUGCUCAGAGUGCUUUGAAUAACAUGGAGAAGUGCAAAGGAAAACUUAUCAGUACCGAAAAAACAGUGGUCAGAAGAAAGGCAUUGGCUGACGUUAGCAAUGUCAAGAGAAACUCUCCGAGCAAUGCAAUGUGUGAUGGCCCCAAACUGAUGAAAGGUAUAAGCAAGACAGCUACGUCUUUGCAACGGGUUUCACUGCGUCCAGCCGGAAAGAUUUUGAAUGUCUCAUCAAGGAAAUCCAUUAUGGGAAAAGUGCAGGAAAGCACAAGUCAAGGUGUUGGUAACUUGCAUACUUCCAAGAGAGAUGGUUAUAGGAACAAGACCAUGAGUCAAAGCCAUGAUUCAGUUCGUACAAAUGGCAGGACUACAAGGAAUUCUCUUUUAUCAAAUAGGAACUCUUUGCCAGUGCUAAAAAGGGGGAACCAGGCAGAUGCAAGUAUCCCAAAGGAAAAUGCUGAAAUUUCUGACAUGGGCAAGGAAAAAAGUGGAUAUCUCGUUGGUAAAACUGGCAGGAAAGUAGCACCCCUAGUAAGAAAUGCUAGGAGUCAUCUUUGGAAGAAUCGAGUGAGUGAUGGCUUCAUAAUAAUGGGUCAAACUAAUGUAGAGGCCCGAGCAUUACAAAGAAAAAAUACCAGGCCAAUUGUGAAGACCACCCUCAAGGCUACCCACGCUCAAAGGACUUUGAAAUCCAAUAACAUUUCAAAUGUUAACAAACGGACAUCUGUAGCUGCAAUCUCGUCCAAGAAAAGGGAGGAAGCAGUGACAUCAUCUCUUCCAGCAAAUAUUGCAUUAGUGGAUCCACAAGAAGCCACAGAAGGGCAGCUUCCAUCUGAUGCUGAUGGCAAUCCACGGGUUGUACCAGAUAUCAUUGCUACUAGAAAAUCGGCUCGGAGGAGAUCUUAUACAUCUUCCUUAAUGGCAAGAUCAAAGUUAAUAGAGAAGUGUGGUGAAGCAAUGAAGUUGGAAGAGCUACCAAGUAUUGAUGACAUUUGCAAUCAACUGGAAGUGGCUGAAUAUGUUGAUGAGAUCUAUCAGUACUAUUGGGUUACAGAGGCACAGAAUCAAUCUUUGGCAAAUUAUAUGUCAGUUCAGACAGACAUUACAGCUCAUAUGCGUGGUAUUCUGAUAAACUGGUUAAUUGAGGUACACUUCAAAUUUGAUUUAAUGCAAGAAACUCUAUAUCUUAUGGUGACCUUGUUAGAUGGAUUUCUUUCACAAGCUACCAUAAAGAAGAAUGAACUGCAGUUGGUUGGUCUUACUGCACUCUUGCUGGCAUCAAAAUAUGAAGACUUUUGGCAUCCCAGGGUCAAGGACUUAAUUAGUAUAUCAGCUGAAUCGUAUAGAAGAGAUGAAAUGCUUGCAAUGGAGAGGCUUAUUCUUAAGAAAUUGAAGUUUCGUCUUAAUGUGGCUACUCCUUAUGUGUUUAUGUUGAGAUUUCUCAAGGCUGCUCAGUCAGACACAAAGGUUGAACGCUUGGCGUUCUACCUCAUUGAACUUUGCUUAGUUCAAUAUGAAGCUUUAAAGUUCAAGCCCUCUUUGCUAUGUGCAUCAGCUAUCUAUGUUGCAAGGUGUACCCUGAACAUGACUCCAGCUUGGACCCCCCUGCUUUGCAGACAUGCACGCUAUGAAGAAUCCCAACUCAGGGAUUGUGCCGAGAUGAUCCUAAGAUUCCAUAAAGAUGCUGGAACAGGACAGUUGAGAGUCACAUACGAAAAAUAUCUGAAGCCUGAUCUCAGUGGUGUUGCAGCAAUAACAACUUUAGAUAGGCUUCCCCUUUGAUUACACUUGGUGUGGAUAGCCUCUGUAGUUGGCAUCAUAAUGGAAAGUGUGCAGGAAAUACCUACUAAAAUUGUAUCUUUGGGGGAUUGUCGCUCGAUAGUAAUUCUACAAAAUUGAGGAAUUACACCUCGGCCGGUUGUUAAUCUUGGACAUUCUCCAUAUUAAAUGUUGGAGUCGCCUUGAUUUGCCAGCUGCUGCCUGAUAUAUUUGUAUUUUGUGGUGUGAUGAUAGUAAAAGUGACGAUGUGAUCUCACAUGUCAAGAUGCUUAUAACUUCCGUAUGUUGUGCCCUAGUAUUAUAGCCACAUUUCAAACAA
Molecule: RNA transcript, 2482 nt
Organism: Juglans microcarpa x Juglans regia
Lineage: Eukaryota; Viridiplantae; Streptophyta; Magnoliopsida; Fagales; Juglandaceae
Gene name: putative cyclin-B3-1
Exons: 25
Source: RefSeq, a predicted model, not a curated record